CCCGUUGGAGAGCUGGUUGGAGUUCCAGUCCUGGUGCACCACGAGCUUGGAGACCUUGACGGCCAGCGAACCGGGUUCAUUGGUGGAGAGGCUGUGCCGGCCCAGCACCACGCGCUCAUGGAACUUGUGCUGCAGGUGGCGAGAAGAGACCACUCCUGGCAGAGGGACCCGGAGGAAACUCCAGCUGCUCUGAGAUAAGCAGAGGUGAUGGUAUUGAGGCUUGGAGAAAUCAUUCAAGUAACCUGGGGGAUCCCAGUUCCAGAUCUGGAGGCCACAUCUAGUUCCCCCAAGAGGGCAGGAAGUGGGCCUCCUCCUUCCCUACAGCCCCCCGCCCACACACACACCCUGCCGAGGACACUCCUUCCAUGUCACGUAUGGGUCCAUCAACUGACCAACGGACUGAAUACAGAUUGACAAAAGCUUGUUUCUUGGCUGAGGAAGUGGUUGGGUGCCAGACUCCUUUAUACAGGGUGGUUCAGGCCAUCAGAGAUGAGCGCUGGCUAGUGGGGUGAGCGGGCUGGGAGACUGGGGAAUAGCACUUACCUGAUGC
This is a long non-coding RNA of Sus scrofa (pig), 550 nucleotides long. RefSeq lists it as uncharacterized. Lineage: Eukaryota; Metazoa; Chordata; Mammalia; Artiodactyla; Suidae. The record is from RefSeq and is a predicted model, not a curated record.